UGCAGCCGGGGAGUCAGCGGUGCCCUGUACCUGCAAUCCGCUACAGCAGGGGUGAUGCCAAACUGAGGGCAUUGUUUUGCAGAGCUGCCCUUUAUAAGUGGCGAUGACGUCUGGGUCUUACGCAACAGAAAUCUAUGAAUCGUGUCAGGUCAGGAAUGAAGCAGCACUAAGUAGACGCUUCUGUGUGCCGUGAGGGUGCCUGGAUUGAGUUAACUGUAGAGGUAACGUCUGUGAGCAAUGUUCGAGGGGCGGCGCACG
This 258-nucleotide signal recognition particle RNA is filed under the name Ruminococcus gauvreauii. Its description in RNAcentral is "Bacterial large signal recognition particle RNA". It matches the Rfam family "Bacterial large signal recognition particle RNA". From Rfam's summary of the family: The signal recognition particle (SRP) is a universally conserved ribonucleoprotein involved in the co-translational targeting of proteins to membranes. Lineage: Bacteria; Bacillati; Bacillota; Clostridia; Eubacteriales; Oscillospiraceae. The record is from RNAcentral.